Molecule: ribosomal RNA, 880 nt
Filed under: uncultured beta proteobacterium
Lineage: Bacteria; Pseudomonadati; Pseudomonadota; Betaproteobacteria
Description: bacterial SSU rRNA
Rfam family: Bacterial small subunit ribosomal RNA
Source: RNAcentral
CAAGUCGAGCGGCAGCGCGGGGCAACCUGGCGGCGAGCGGCGAACGGGUGAGUAAUGCAUCGGAACAUGUCCAUGUCGUGGGGGAUAGCCCGGCGAAAGCCGGAUUAAUACCGCAUAAGCCCGAGAGGGGAAAGUGGGGGACCGCAAGGCCUCACGCGAUUGGGUUGGCCGAUGUCCGAUUAGCUAGUUGGCGGGGUAAUGGCCCACCAAGGCGAUGAUCGGUAGCUGGUCUGAGAGGAUGAUCAGCCACACUGGGACUGAGACACGGCCCAGACUCCUACGGGAGGCAGCAGUGGGAAUUUUGGACAAUGGGGGCAACCCUGAUCCAGCCAUUCCGCGUGAGUGAAGAAGGCCUUCGGGUUGUAAAGCUCUUUUGUCCGGAACGAAACGGGUAGCGUGAAUAUCGCUGCCUACUGACGGUACCGGAAGAAUAAGCACCGGCUAACUACGUGCCAGCAGCCGCGGUAAUACGUAGGGUGCGAGCGUUAAUCGGAAUUACUGGGCGUAAAGCGUGCGCAGGCGGUUUUGUAAGCCAGAUGUGAAAUCCCCGGGCUUAACCUGGAAAUGGCAUUUGGGACUGCAAGGCUGGAGUGUGGCAGAGGAGACUGGAAUUCCUGGUGUAGCAGUGAAAUGCGUAGAUAUCAGGAGGAAUACCGAUGGCGAAGGCAGGUCUCUGGGCUGACACUGACGCUCAUGCACGAAAGCGUGGGGAGCAAACAGGAUUAGAUACCCUGGUAGUCCACGCCCUAAACGAUGUCGACUGGUUGUUGGGGGUUUGACACUCUCAGUAACGAAGCUAACGCGUGAAGUCGACCGCCUGGGGAGUACGGCCGCAAGGUUAAAACUCAAAGGAAUUGACGGGGACCCGCACAAGCGGUGG